UUGUACUGAGAUUUGAAGAUGAAAUGAAAAGAUUUUCUUAUCUGUGAGAUUCCAGCUGAAGGAGGUGAACAUGAUUUGUGGCGCUAUGCUUUCCAUUGACAGGAGAGCUUCUCGUGUUGAUAACGUGUUGUAAAAUCGACGGUGUGUGCAGUGGAAUAAAUAAACAAGACACAAAAUUUACGAGGUUCCUCUACAGUCAGUGUGACUGGAGUACGUCCUCGGGGCAGUAGUGGUGCU
This 237-nucleotide long non-coding RNA is filed under the name Malus domestica (apple). RNAcentral describes it as "long non-coding RNA (MDOM_LNC002650)". The record is from RNAcentral. Lineage: Eukaryota; Viridiplantae; Streptophyta; Magnoliopsida; Rosales; Rosaceae.